AAAGAAGAGGAGGUCAGAUAACGAUGACAAUUCCCCCAAUUCACAGGACAUGAGGGGUCACUGAAUGGUUUGAUGAGUAUGAAGAUGAUGUGAAUCUUUGGUUGUGGCCUUCACAGUCACCAGAUCUCAGCCAAUGAAGAUCUGGCAGAAUCAGCCAAUGGAAGGCCAUAAACUGCUUCUACAGUUUAACCUCAGUGUGCAUGAAUCAAUGUGCUGUCCAGAAAGUCCAGAAGAAAAGAACAAACAGAUGUUGAGCCACAACUGAUGGGCCACCAAAACUGUCCAAAACCAAAAUGGUCCUUGGUCUUAUGUCAAAUUUCUUGUAUUGUAGUUUUACAUGCAGGAGACGUCCAGCGAUGCUACAAUGUGUUGCUCAGGUACUAAAUUGCAGAAGUUUAAAACGGACUGCUGACCACUUAAACAUCCAUUUAUCAACCCAGCAACUAUCUCCAACACAUAUUAUCAUCCAAAACAUUUAUUAAUGGACCGCGUGAGGUGGAGGAGACGAUCAAGAACGUGAGAAAGGACAGACUAUUACUCCCUGUUUGAGUUUUACAAUUUCCAGUGUUGCCGUUGUUGGGGUUGUGCGAUAUGUUGAUAACAUGUCAUUAUGUUAGAGAAGAUACUGUGUAUGAUUUCAGUUAUUAAUUUCACUGUGAUAAUAUAUGUGCAGUUGUGGUGUGAGAUAAGUGGUUUUCAAGGCUGCAUCACAGUAAAGGGAUGCGAUUUUCUGACCUUAUCAAACUUGUCUUACCUUUUCUGGUAUUUUCCUCUACCUGAUUGGUUGAUACAUCUGCAUUACUAAGGACUGUUCAUCAACCAUCUCUUGUGUUUUAUUUCUGUUAUCUUCUUUUCUUAUGGAACCACCAAUAGUCAUCCCACCAGUAUUGUCUAAAUAUCUACACUGAGAUAUUAAACCAAUGAUAUUGUGAUAUCUUCUUUGUGUACAUUUUUAUUUUUGUCCGUAUUGCUCUGUCAUGCUGGUUACUACAGUUAUUAGAAGUCUUUGCUGCUGGAGUUUCUUGGUUGUGUUUACAUUCUUUAAACUGGUCAAUCAUUUUGUUUUUGGUUUGCAGCAUUUUUUGGUACUGGUGGUUUUUAAGCUUUGUAUGGCUUUGGUUAUCAACAUGAAAAUAAAGUGCUGCAGGAGGUGUUGUGCAAUGAUUUUUUUUACCCCCCUUCCCCAUUUAAAUACAAUAUGUGAGCUAGAUCCACUAAGUAAAGGCCAAAAUUAUAGAGGAAUAUUUCGGCUUUGGGUGACUGCACAGAUUUAUUGUCAUAAUGUAGACAGAUGAUAACCCUGUAGAAUGUAAUAUUAAGAAACGAUCAUUGUGAUUUGAUCAAAGAAACAGGCUGUAAUACAUCGGCUUUGAAGAAGGUGUUGGUGUGUCUCAAGUAGCAGAUAUGUGAUUUCACUUUAGUUUACGGUACAGUUCUUUGAAAUGUGUCGCAAAUUACCUUCUAAGAAAGUCUAAUAAGGGUCUAACAGUGGGAAAUAAAGAUGGAAUGUCCUGGCAGCUUCCAUAGCCUAAUGUUAAUGGGAUUGGAUAAUGGCAUUAUCCAAUCAAUAAUAUUAUUAUUACAUUAUCACAAUGACAUUAUAUGGUCUGAUGUCUUAACUGGAAUGGGAGUAGAGUGCUGAGGAAGCAUGUAAUGUAUUUUGUUACGUAUUAGUUUAAAUUUAGACCAUGUUAGUAGUAUUAAAUUACAGCAUAAUUUGGUAGUAAGAGUAGAAUAGCAUCUAAAUGUAGCAUAUUUUGGAUCGGAUAUGGAUUGUAUUUGAUUUCUAAUUAGACUAUGAUCUUGUAAAAUGGUGUGUAAUGUGUAUUAGGAUCUCCUAUUUGGUUUCUAAUUAGAGUGUAAUCUGUAUAAUAGUGUCUAAGUAUAGUAUAUUUUAGGUUUAAUACAGCAUUAUAUGUGGUUUCUGACUACAGCACA
This is a long non-coding RNA of Thunnus maccoyii (southern bluefin tuna), 1938 nucleotides long. RefSeq lists it as uncharacterized. The record is from RefSeq and is a predicted model, not a curated record. The transcript is spliced from 4 exons. Lineage: Eukaryota; Metazoa; Chordata; Actinopteri; Scombriformes; Scombridae.